AUUGAACGCUGGCGGCAGGCCUAACACUUGCAAGUCGAGCGGAUGAAGGGAGCUUGCUCCUGGAUUCAGCGGCGGACGGGUGAGUAAUGCCUAGGAAUCUGCCUGGUAGUGGGGGAUAACGUCCGGAAACGGGCGCUAAUACCGCAUACGUCCUGAGGGAGAAAGUGGGGGAUCUUCGGACCUCACGCUAUCAGAUGAGCCUAGGUCGGAUUAGCUAGUUGGUGGGGUAAAGGCCUACCAAGGCGACGAUCCGUAACUGGUCUGAGAGGAUGACCAGUCACACUGGAACUGAGACACGGUCCAGACUCCUACGGGAGGCAGCAGUGGGGAAUAUUGGACAAUGGGCGAAAGCCUGAUCCAGCCAUGCCGCGUGUGUGAAGAAGGUCUUCGGAUUGUAAAGCACUUUAGGUUGGGAGGAAGGGCAGUGAGUUAAUACCUUGCUGUUUUGACGUUACCAACAGAAUAAGCACCGGCUAACUUCGUG
Molecule: ribosomal RNA, 484 nt
Filed under: uncultured bacterium
Lineage: Bacteria
Description: partial 16S ribosomal RNA
Rfam family: Bacterial small subunit ribosomal RNA
Source: RNAcentral